Clupea harengus (Atlantic herring) is the source of this 11504-nucleotide long non-coding RNA. Lineage: Eukaryota; Metazoa; Chordata; Actinopteri; Clupeiformes; Clupeidae. The record is from Ensembl.
GCCCUGAGUGCGUGAUUAUAUCCUUUCCCCUUUCGCUGUCUGCUAGGGUCCUCUAAUGGAUCACGCCCCCGCUGCCAAAAAAGGCCAGAGCGCAAGCAGCUGGCGAAGGGAACACCGGCUAAUAAUAAACCGGACCAGCGAGGGGGAUAAGGUUACCUUGAAGCUCCCCUUGCUCCUGCCUGUCUGCUUUGUGACCUAUUACCAUGUGAGGCGUAAAUAAUAUUGGCUAAACUGUUAGCACAUAUCUGCUGCCCCCCUUCGCUUCAGAUACCCUGCUUCCUUCAACCCUGUUUUCGCUCUCCCUCAGUACCGUUCCCCAUAGACUCCCUUCUGCUAUGCAAAGAGACCAGCCACACUGAAACUUCCAUCUACAUCAGCCCCCCCACCAAUGAUUUAGCAAAAAGUUCAACCUUGCUGGAUUAUAUGGCGGCCACACAAGAGCAACACCAUUUGAUACGUUGGUGUUCAAAAGGGAUUUAAAAGAAACAACAACAAACAAGAUCACAGAGAAAUCUGGCUACCCCUCACCUGAUUUGCUGAAGUAACCUUAAUUUCAACAUGGACGAGGCUGCAUCACAAGGCGCAGAAGCAGAGUCUACGAAACAACCCCCCAAGCAAGGCAACGGUUUCCCGAAAAUCCAACUCAAGCCGGUACAAUGGGUUAUAGCCAUCGUUCUCGUCCUGUCCUGGUCUGCGGUCGGUGCAUAUUUGUUCGACUUUGUUGAUGACAAACAAAUAGCCGCUAUUCAGGAAGUGAGCAUGGAUCCCAUGGCAGCAGCAAACAUGGCUGUAGAGGGAAUAAAACACAGCGCAGACAAGUUGGUGGCCGAAGUGUCUGAUGCUGUUUACAAUGCUCCAGAGAAUAUAUGUAACUCGGAAUACCUAAAGUCAAGUGGUCUCCUAAUGGAGGAUAUACGAGAAGGAAUAAAGGGGGUUGUCGUUGACGUAUUUGACAUCUUUGAAGGAACAAUACACACAGUGACCUACUAUCCAGACAUGAUGUUAACUGGAACAGUGGAUGCAAUCAGAUAUGUGACAAGCAUGAUGAAAGGGAACCGCCCCAAACUGGACACUCUGAAGUAUGGGGGUGUGGCAUUGGAAAACAUACGAGAUGGCCUUAAGGGCGUCAUCGGCUGCUUAUUUGACCUCUUCGAGGGAACACUCGAUGCUGUGGCCUUCUUUCCUCACAAGAUUUUGACUGGAGCAGCUGAUGGAUUCAAAUAUGUGACAAGUGUGGUGUCUGUGCCAAGCUUCCUCGCUCUCCCUACAGAGUGGAUAUCGGAGCUCAAUCUUAAUCCAAUGGAUGCCAUCAUGCAAGCAACUGAAGAAAUCACAAACCUGAACAAGGAUGCCUUUGACUCUGUGUCAAGCAUGUUCAAGGGCAGUGAAGAAAUAAGCUUUGAUCCCAUGAAAGUUGUGACUGAUGCAGUAGAGGAGAUCGCGGACAGGAGGAACAUGUUCUUGUCAUAUCUGUCAAACGUAAUGAUGGAGGACAAAGAUGAGACACCACCCAUGACCAGGAGGAAAGGGGAGUUUUUGCCUCCAAUGGAAAAAGUUCUUGAACAAGAGAAGGUAUCCAAGCAGCAGAAGACCAGAGAAGAAGUAUACAAAAUCAUUCAAGACCUAAAAGCCACAAAAGCUGAAAAAGAGGCAGUAAAGUUCAAACUUGAAGCCAGAAAGGAAGAGGAGGAAGAGGAGAAGAAGGAUAAAGAACCUGCACCUCCACCUGUACCUGUGAAGGAAAAAGAUAAACCAGAACCUGUAAAAGAAGAACCUAAGCCUGCAUCGGUAAAGGAAAAAGCUAAGCCAGAGCCUGCAUCGGUAAAGGAAAAAGCUAAGCCAGAGCCUGCAUCGGUAAAGGUGCAAGCUAAGCCAGAGCCUGCAUCGGUAAAGGAAAAAGCUAAGCCAGAGCCUGCAUCUGUAAAAGAAGAACCUAAGCCAGAGCCUGCAUCGGUAAAGGUAAAAGCUAAGCCAGAGCCUGCAUCGGUAAAGGAAAAAGCUAAGCCAAAAUCUGAAAAAGAGAAACCUAAGCAAGAACCCAUUACGGAGAAGACUAAGCCAGAACCAGAAAAGCAGAAAGCCAAGCUAGAAUCCGUAAAGGAGAAGGCUAAACCAGAACCUACUACCGAUAAGGAAGAAGCUAUGGUAGAAUUCAAGGAGGAGAAACCUAGGCCAGAAUCUCCUAAGGACAAGGCCAAACCAAAGCCCAUUGCAGAGAAGGCAAAGCCAGAGCCCAAAAAGGAGAGAGCUAAGGAAGAACUUGUAAAAGAGAAGGCUACACCAGAACCUGUGAAGGAGAAAGCUGAGCCUAAGCCCAAAAAGGAAGAACUUAAGCUUGAACCUGGAAAGGAAACCGCUAAGAAAAUAACUGUAAAAGAAACUGCAAAGCCAGUGCCCACAAGGGAGGAGGUUAAGCCAGAACCAGUGAAGGAGAAAAUGAAGACCCUGAAAGAAAAGGCUAAGAAAGAAGCUCUGAAGGAGAAAACUGAGCCAGAACCAGCAGUAGAGAAGACUAAACCAGAACCUGCACCUGCAAAAGAAAAAGCUAAGCCAGUACCCAUGAAGGAGAAAGCUGAGGCAGAACCUGUGAAGGACAAAGCUAAAAAAGAACCUGCUAAAGAGAAGGUAAAGCCAGAAGCUGUUAAGGAAAAAGCUAAACCAGAAACCAUGAAGGAGAAAGCAAAGCCUGAGCCUGUAAAGGAAAAAGCCAAGCCAGAGCCUGCUAAGGAGAAAGUUAAGCCAGAGCUCCCUAAAGCGAAAGCUAGACCAGAACCAACUAAAGAAAAAGCUAAGCCUGUUCCUGUGAAGGAGGAAGACAAGGCUGCACCUUUGAAAGAAAAAGCUAAGCCUGUACCUGUGAAGGAGGAAGAUAAGGCUGCACCUUUGAAAGAAAAGGCUAAGCCUGUACCUGUGAAGGAGGAAGACAAGGCUGCACCUUUGAAAGAAAAAGCUAAGCCUGUACCUGUGAAGGAGGAAGACAAGGCUGCACCUUUGAAAGAAAAGGCUAAGCCUGUACCUGUGAAGGAGGAAGACAAGGCUGCACCUUUGAAAGAAAAGGCUAAGCCUGUACCUGUGAAGGAGGAAGACAAGGCUGCACCUUUGAAAGAAAAGGUUAAGCCUGUACCUGUGAAGGAGGAAGACAAGGCUGCACCUUUGAAAGAAAAGGCUAAGCCUGUACCUGUGAAGGAGAAUGCUAAGCUAGAACCCACCCCUGUGAAGGAGAAGGCUAAAGCAGAACCUGUGAAGGAGAAAGCUAGUCCAGAAUCUGUAAAAGAGAAGGCUAGGCCAGAACCUGCAAAGGAGAAGGCUAAAGCAGAACCCACCCCUGUAAGGAAGGCUAAGCCAGAACCUGCACCUGUAAAGGAUGAAGCUAAACCAGAACCUGCAAAGGAGAAGGCUAAAGCAGAACCCACCCCUGUAAAGAAGACUAAGCCAGAAGCUGUGAAGGAGAAGGCUAAAGCAGAACCUGCAAAGGAGAAGGCUAAAGCAGAACCCACCCCUGUAAGGAAGGCUAAGCCAGAACCUGCACCUGUAAAGGAUGAAGCUAAACCAGAACCUGCAAAGGAGAAGGCUAAAGCAGAACCCACCCCUGUAAAGAAGACUAAGCCAGAAGCUGUGAAGGAGAAGGCUAAAGCAGAACCUGCAAAGGAGAAGGCUAAAGCAGAACCCACCCCUGUAAGGAAGGCUAAGCCAGAACCUGCACCUGUAAAGGAUGAAGCUAAACCAGACCCUGCAAAGGAGAAGGCUAAAGCAGAACCCACCCCUGUAAAGAAGACUAAGCCAGAAGCUGUGAAGGAGAAGGCUAAAGCAGAACCUGUGAAGGAGAAGGCUAAAGCAGAACCUGCAAAGGAGAAGGCUAAAGCAGAACCCACCCCUGUAAAGAAGACUAAGCCAGACCCUGCAAAGGAGAAGGCUAAAGCAGAAGCUGUGAAGGAGAAGGCUAAAGCAGAACCUGCAAAGGAGAAGGCUAAAGCAGAACCCACCCCUGUAAGGAAGGCUAAGCCAGAACCUGCACCUGUAAAGGAUGAAGCUAAACCAGACCCUGCAAAGGAGAAGGCUAAAGCAGAACCCACCCCUGUAAAGAAGACUAAGCCAGAAGCUGUGAAGGAGAAGGCUAAAGCAGAACCUGUGAAGGAGAAGGCUAAAGCAGAACCUGCAAAGGAGAAGGCUAAAGCAGAACCCACCCCUGUAAAGAAGACUAAGCCAGACCCUGCAAAGGAGAAGGCUAAAGCAGAACCUGUGAAGGAGAAGGCUAAAGCAGAACCUGCAAAGGAGAAGGCUAAAGCAGAACCCACCCCUGUAAAGAAGACUAAGCCAGACCCUGCAAAGGAGAAGGCUAAAGCAGAACCCACCCCUAUAAGGAAGGCUAAGCCAGAACCUGCACCUGUAAAGGAUGAAGCUAAACCAGACCCUGCAAAGGAGAAGGCUAAAGCAGAACCUGUGAAGGAGAAGGCUAAAGCAGAACCUGUGAAGGAGAAGGCUAAAGCAGAACCUGUGAAGGAGAAGGCUAAAGCAGAACCCGUCCCUGUAAAGGAGAAAGCUAAACCAGAACCUGUGAAGGAGAAAGCUAAGCCAGAACCUGCAAAGGAGAAAGCUAAGCAAGAAGCUGUAAAGGAAAAAGCUAAGCAAGAAGCUGUAAAGGAGAAAGCUAAGCCAGAACCUGCAAAGGAGAAGGCUAAAGCAGAACCCACCCCUGUAAAGAAGACUAAGCCAGAAGCUGUAAAGAAGGGUAAGCCAGAAGCUGUAAAGGAGAAGGCUAAGCCAGAAGCUGUAAAGGAGAAAGCUAAGCCAGAACCUGUGAAGGAGAAGGCUAAAGCAGAACCUGUGAAGGAGAAGGCUAAGCCAGCCAAAGUGAAGGUAAAGAAAGGUAAGAUCUAAAUCGUGUGUAAUGAUUUAUUGUUAUUAACAAGAAAUUACCAUUUUCAUAUCAUUUUUGUGCAUAAAUAACACCCUGAGUAGUGAUUCAUUAUUUCUUGCUUAACAUGCUUAAUUUAACAAAAACUGCCAAAUUUAGUUGGUGCUUGAAUAUUAUCAAUACAUAAAUUUAGUUUGAAGCUACCACUGUGGUCCAGUUGCAAUAUGUUGUGUCAGGUCAUCAUUUCUAAUUCUGAUAAUGUUGUUUUUAUGUAGCAAUUAGUACAAAGAUUACACAACAAAUAGAUGAAGGUGCUUUCUCAUCUUCAAUGCAGCUAUGAACUUUGCAGCAUACAAUAAGUUCAAACUAUAAAUGUUGUUAUUUUCCUGUGCCAAGCAGAACCCGAGGCUCCAAAAGAGAAGGCAAAACCAGCAAAGAAAGAACCCGAGCCAAAGAAAAAGGUCAAGCCAAUGCCUGCUGUGAAAGAACCUGAGGUUCCAAAAGAGAAGGCCAAACCUGUAAAGACAGAAGCAGAGGUUCCAAAGGAGAAAGCUAAGCCAGCACCACCUGUGAAAGAACCUGUGGCUUCAAAGGACAAACCAAAACCGACAAAGAAAGGUGAUUUUUGUGUUUUAAACAUGUCUGUGGUGACUAUGUUGUCUGGCCCAAUCGUGUAUCCUAAACUGUUUGUGCCUUAAGAAAGUCCUAUUAUGUUGAGAUGAUGUUCUGAUGAAUGACUAUUUUUUGUGACACGGUGGUUGUGGUACCAAAAGCAAGACCGACUCCAACCAAAAUAGAACUUGAAUCUAUGAAGAACAUCACUGGACCAGUUGUGAAGAAAGAAAUUCCAAAGGAGAAACCCAAACCUGAAGUGAAAGAACCCGAGGUUCCAAAGGAGAAAUCCAAACCAGCUAUAAAAGAGCCUGAACCUCCCAAGGAGAAGGCCAAACCAGCUAAGAAAGAACCCGAGGUUCCAAAGGAGAAACCCAAACCAGUCGUAAAAGAAUCCAAGGUUCCAAAGGAGAAACUCAAACCAGCUAUAAAAGAACCCGAGGUUCCAAAGGAGAAACCCAAACCAGUCGUAAAAGAACCCGAUAUUCCAAAGGAGAAAUCCAAACCAGUUGUAAAAGAGCCUGAACCUCCCAAGGAGAAGGCCAAGCCAGCUAAGAAAGAACACGAGGUUCCAAAGGAGAAAGUCAAACCAGCUAUAAAAGAAACUGUGGUUCCAAAGGAGAAAGCCAAACCAGCCGUAAAAGAACCUGAGGUUCCAAAAGGUAAAGCCAAACCUGUUCCAGAAAAGAAAGAAGCUGAGCUUCCAAAGAUGAAAGCAAAGCCAGCGCCAGAAGUGAAAGAGCCUCCAAGAGAGAAGGCCAAAUCAGCUAAGAAAGAACCUGAGAUUCCAAAGGAGAAGGCCAAACCUGCUAAGAAAGACCAAGAAGCUCCGAAGGAAAAAGCCAAGGCUGCCCCAGCAGUAAAAGAACCUGAGGUUUCAAAGGAGAAAAUCAAACUGGAAAGGAAGGAACCCGAGGCUCCGAAGGAAAAAGCUAAGCCUGAACCAACAAAGAAAGAAUUUGAUUCUCUCUCAAAUAUUACAAAAGCAACUCUGGGAAAGAAAGAACUAGUGGUACUGAAAGAGAGGCCAAGGCUCGCACCAGUUACAGAAGAGCCUGAAAUCCCAAAGAAGGCCAAACCUGUAAAGAAAGAGCCCGUGGCACCAGUUGAAUCUGUUGUACCAGCACCUACAAAGGAAGAACCACCCAAACCAGACGGCCUUGGUGUAGAGGAAGAGGAGGAUAUCCCCUACUUCCAGUGCUUCUUUGUAGACGAAGACGACACGCACUACCCGUUCUUCCCGUUCUCGCCGCCACAAAUCUGAGACCCUGCCAUCCACAGAUGAUCUUGAAAAGCCUGAGCCCUAUGGAAGAAGCUUGGUGGCACAUCGAGUCACAACAUUACCUUUAUCACUGGGCUGUGCGAUAGUGACCACUGCUUCGACGCGGUUCAUUCAUCAGCUGGUGUCCUUUAAUGAAACUCAAGGACUGAAAAUGACAAAUGGUGGUGACCGUCCGUACACCUCGAUAUGCUUUUAACAGACCACAGAAGCAGGAGAUACCAUCUUUUCCCCAGGUGUUGAAAAAACCUUAAACAUUUCUCUGUUAGUAUAUCAGUAAAGGUUUAGCUUACAUUUAGUUGUUACAGUACAGUUCAUGAAAGGUUAGGAUGUCAUCUUAUGUUUAAAUAAACACUUCAGCCUUGUCUUAUUUUAAUCUAUGUUUGUCUUGACAAUGGCUAAAUAGUUUCAAUUCGAAGUUGUAGAUGAAAAAAAAAAAUUCACAGUUUGUGCGGUGCACUGUUGCAUUAUAAAAUGUUUAAGUAAUUUCACACCAACAAAGUUACAGACAUGGAGGUAAGGGACCCGAGCGACCAGCAAAAGAACAAGGCUGAGUUUUCUCUGAGCCCCUCCAUGUCGUACGUUUCCUCUGCUCUGUUUCCCGACCAGACCAGGAAGGGCGGGCUGUUAUUAACCUGAAAGAGCUAUCGCAGGUACCGACCACUGCAUUACUACUACCUGACAACCCCUUUGUGGGCAUAUCUAACAGUACGUCUGUGUCUCUACACAGAUGAAAAAGUCUUAUUUCUACAUCUAAAUGCUUCUCAUUUUGACAGGAUGCUGAUUCAAAGCAUUCCAUUAUAUUAGCCGUCAGAAUGAGGUUUUCUUUGUUGUUGUCCUUUUUUUCUUUUUUAAAAAGGCCACCUUUCAAUUGACUUGAAGUUAUAUUUAACAACAUUUUUGUUCUUUUUUUUCAACAAGUAAUGGACGUUGGUGGAUGUUCAGCUUGUUAGGAUGUCAUCUUAUGUUUAAAUAAACACUUCAGCUGUUUGGCUCUACAGAUUAAGAAAAAGACACGUCUUUUAACAUAUUUUUUAAUUGUGAAGUCGCACAUGUAAGGAAGAAGUACAAAUAUUGCAUAAUUAUAUUAAUAUUUUAUAUAACUUUUUUUAUAUAGUAAUAUCUUAUAAUGAGACCUAAUAAUAGGGAUGGAUUAUUAUUUUGCCUUGUGCCUUUUUCCAAGAAUAUAUCAACGCUUAAAGUCAGGAUUACUGAUUCUGCUUAUCUUGAGAUUUUAUUGGACAACAAGAAAAUAAUUCAAUUCAAGUAAUUAUGCCUAAUUAUGGAGUUAAUUUACCAACCUUGUAACCUAUUUCUAUAUUUGUCUCAAUGAUUCUGGAAGGUUAAAAUACAGGAUCUCUUAAGUCACGCACUACCAAUCUAACACAAGCAACUAUAUAAGUAUGUAAAUGUACAAACAUUGCUUUUAUCUGAUUCUUUUUUUUCAUAGAGAUCAGAAGUCAUGUUUCAUUUCAUCCAUUGAAUCAAAGAGAUAGGAGUUCUUUUCAUUACUUGUGUUUUAGUUUGACAGAGUAAGUACGAGGUAACACUGUCAUCUCAUUUCACCCUUUCUGUUUCCCUGGACAGCAUAAUUGUGUUAUUGUUAUGGCAUAUCGACGGAAAUUAGCUUUCUGUGUCCCUGGACAGCAUCAUAGUGUUACUGUUACGGCAUAUCGACGGAAAUUUGCUUUCUGUGUCCCUGGACAGCAUCAUAGUGUUACUGUUACGGCAUAUCGACGGAAAUUUGCUUUCUGUGUCCCUGGACAGCAUCAUAGUGUUACUGUUAUGGCAUAUCAAUGGGAAUUUGCUUUCUGUGUCCCUGGACAGCAUCAUAGUGUUACUGUUACGGCAUAUCGACGGAAAUUUGCUUUCUGUGUCCCUGGACAGCAUCAUAGUGUUACUGUUAUGGCAUAUCAAUGGGAAUUUGCUUUCUGUGUUCCUGGACAGCAUCAUAGUGUUACUGUUACUGCAUAUCGAUGGGAAUUUGCUUUUGGUAGUUGUCCACCCUAAUGUCAACACAACAUUUUGUGAUUUUAGAGGGCAGCUCCCAUAAAGGGCAUAUGAGACAAGUUGACAAAUAGUAGGGACCAUACACCGAGUAUAGGACAUUGAGACGGUCACUUAUAAUGGUGCAAAACAUUGGCCAAGUAAACAAGACCCUUUGUUGUUAUUUUUUUUUAUUUUAUUUUUUUUAUUCAUUUUUAUAAGAACAGAAAUGUUUGACUGUGUUUGCCUGUUCAUGAUAGAUCAUGUUCAGUGCAAAUGUGAUAUCCUCAAGACAACCUGAACUUGACAUCAGACCAAAUCAGACCAGCGCUGUGUCAAUUUCACUGUGGGCUUUAGUUAAAAAAAAGUUUAAAAAAAAUAUGGUUGUCAAUGAAAUGUGACACUGAUGCUAAUGGUUUGUGGUCUUCAGAUUCAGGGCAGCAUUUUGAGGGUCCAUAGCAUGGUGUCAAUAUACCAACACAGUCCAUGUGUAUCUAUUCCAGGGGGCAAAGUGGGCCGCUGGCUAUCUGGCAUGCCCUCAUUCACUCACAGUUGUUUUCAACUCUGCAAGUAAAGCAUGCUAGGUAGUUGGUAGCUCAUAUUUAUGAGAAUAACUAUACACAGGUGACAUCAAGACUUUAAUGCCAUGUUAACGCCCUUGAGUUGAAGCCCUCUGUAUUAAUCUAGCAGAUUUUGUUUACACAGCUGUAUUUUGAAAGGUCAGAGGGAUAUGUUUACAUUGCCACAACAAAAUAUUUACUUACAGUACUGAAUGAAAUAUCGAGAAAAUGGUCUGAUGAUAGUGUAGUCUAUCUUGAUUAUUGUUAUAAUGGUCACUUAAAAAUAUUGUGAAAAUUUAAGUAUUAUUAGAGAGACAACAUUAUGGUGUGUGAUGUGACAAUAACUUGAUUUAUUGUUGAAGUAUUAUUGAGACGAAAGAAACGAGAGCUCUAUGAUCGACGUUGUGCAAAUUGUCUGACCAGUGGUCAACUUCAUGGUCUUGUGCUACGUCUGACAGACAUGCAGUGGAGUAUCUUAUGUCGUCAUCUCAAGUCAGGUGUCAAACAGUAGCUGAACUCUAAUAUGGCUUCUGUGCCAGUAUAGACACACUACUGAUGAAACCUUUUAAAUGAACGAGAAAUGCUACUUGGACUAUUUGAACAAGUAGCCUAGUCAGCUGCAUGAUGUGUGAUAGUUUGGCGCUUCCAAACAUACUAGCCAACUGAACUAGAAGUUCAGAGAAAUGACAUGCUGUAUAUGUAUAGUACUACUAGAAUCAGGUGUGUUUAACUGGAGUUAUGUGUUUAAUUACUUAAAAGCGUUACUUUAACCAUGUUUUCAGGACUUAUUUGAAUAUUCACUCUAAAAUAUGAAAUAUAUAAAAUAUACAUGUGCAGAAAAUGGCAUAGAAUUACAGUGAAUAACCCAAAGAUUUGUGUUUAGCAUUUUAAUUCGUAUUCUUGUGUAUGUAUGCUUUUAUGAAUAUGCAAUAUUCAACAAGAUAUAUUGGGUUAAAUAUUCAAAGGAUUUACUCAUUGUUUCACUUUAGGUAUUUAGCCUAGUCAAGAUGUUUCAGUACUGUAUUUUACAUACAAAUACAUGUACACUGCAGCUGCAACAGUAUAACAUGUUGUUGUAGUUCACAAGCCUUCUAAGGGGGUUAGUGUAAAUCCCUACUUCAGAUCUUCACAUUUUGUAAGGAGUUUCAGUAUAUCAGUCAGAUUGGUGUGAUAGCCAAUGCAUGUACAUUUUGCGAUAGCCAGUACAUGUUUUAAUGGUAAGAAUUAUGGUAACUUAACAAUAAUUGUCAAAUAAGUGCUGUAUAAGUUCAAAGGCUAUCUGGUUUCAUGAAUUGUCAUUAUUGCACUUUAUAUGGUGGUUUUAACCUGUUGCAAUGGGGCCAGUUGACUCCCCCUAACUGUACUGAUAUAUUUGAGUUUCCCCUUUUAAAAGAAAAACAUCAGAACUGCACAUAAUAUCAAUACUGGGUACAUUUGUUGAUUAAACUCAUCAAUGGAGUUAUAACUAUGUAGAAGUUUGUCAAGAAUGUUUAAUAAACUGCUUCUGUAGUGAAAAUUAUUUGUUUUCUAUUUGUGCUGGACAUAUGACAGUAUAAGUAUAAGUCAUUUUUAAAGAAAUUCAUCAGCAUUUGCUUUUAUGUUUGCCACUAGGUGUCACCAUUUCACACAAGCGUUGGCCAAAGUCUUUGGUGUCACAAUGCAAGUAUUUAAGUUUUAAAGCACGCUGAUUUCUUUACCGCCAUAAGUAAUCUCUAAUGUUUUUCGGUUAUCUUUUUUAAGUCUUACAUACAUAUUUGUUUCACAGACUUUUCAGUUGGAAAAAAUAUGUUCCUGACGUACAGCAAAUUAAAAUUCUGCACUGACAUUUAACAAUACAAUACAAAACACUACCCCAAUAUUUAUCCCACACUGGUUUAUAGUACGCUAGCUGAAAUCGUUCAACCCCUAACUCUUCAGGAAAGCCCCACAUAUGUCUGAACCCUUGCAGAGACCUCAUCAGAGUCACUACAGCCUUGGGCUGAAUCACACUAGUCCUCUACCAACCAUAAUUAAGUCCCAUGCUCCGGAACUCAGCUUCGUUUGGGGCUGACUCCUCUGUUCUAUUCUCUUAGCUGUCCAUGGGCUGUCUGUUGUUCCCAUGGAAGACAUGGAGAGAUUCCAAUCGUCCCCUUUGUCUUUUCACAGGGACACAAGCAGACACUCUUUCAGGACACUUGGCACCGAGCGUCAGUGAUGUCACACGCAAACCUCA